AGAUGAGGGAACGUAGGAACACUGGGGACUCUCCCCCAACUUACCAGGCCCCAGAAGUUAUUUCCCAGGCAGCGUUUUGACCAAGAUUGACAGAAAAAACUCACUAAGGGAGCCCCAAGGAAAGAACUUCGGUGAGCAAGACUUGAGGAAGAGGGCGUUAGGCCGCUGUGGUCCAGGACACGUCAGUUACAUGUGAAUCCCUUCUGGCAAUUCAGCAAUAGCCAUUGUAACUUUCAGGUUUUUGAUGUGGUCUCCUUUUUGCAGACAAUAGAGUUAUAUCCUCUCUUACUUCUGAGGUCUGCUGCCUUGUGGCAGAAGUUGACCACAUGGAAAUUUUCCACUUGGAAAUUCACACGUUGUUUCCUCUUGGUUUAUCGGUAGGCAGAAGUUACUACAUGGAGGGAGGGGGGAAACUGGUUUAACCUUGGCUGCUUGAUAGUGGAUCUGAAAGUCUAGUAUUGCAUGAGAAGUCCCUGCUAGAUAAAAUGUAAUAUUGGGGUCCCAUCUCCAGUGACUGUGGUUUAGUAGUUCCGGGUGGGCCUUGGCAGUAUACGUUUUUGAGCAAGCACCCCAAUAACUCUCAUAUGCAUGUUUCAAGACCUCGUGAUGUGGAGUACUGAUCUAGGUCCUCUUAGAACAGGAUGGAAGUUUGCUGAAGCGGGGACAAGAUUGGCCAUUGUGAAUGAUACUAACAUUGUGAUUAAGAGAACAAAUGUCUCUUUAGAUCUAAAGUCCUAAGCUUUUUGUCUUAGGCUGAAUUCCCCAGGAGGAGAGCCUAGACUGGUAUUUGGGUGUAUGUGAUGCAUUGGCGUGGUCUCAGGAAAAAGAUUAUAAAGGAAGUAGGAGAGCGCAAAGUAAGGCCCUAAGCAAGGGUGUGGGUUCAGCCGGAGGCUAGCUUUACUCGGAUCCCACAGGGAGCUCUGCGCGUGAGUUGUACCACAUGGCAUAUCCCACCCUGAGGAAAGAAGGCUAGCUUUUGGUACCUUUUGACAGCCAGUCACUGGCUGUGAGCUACCCUGGGAUGGGAGAUAGAAUCUUCUGGAUGAGCAGAGGGCAGAUCUCCAGGGAGAAGGCCUCUGUUGCCAUUAGCAACCAACCCUCAUGGCCACUGGGGAAUGGAUGCACCAGCCAGGUAAAAGGGACCGAGAAGAGUCACCAACAGCAUCCAUUGUGUUAUGACACCGUAGUGUCACAUGAGAGGCAUUUCACACUAUGGCUCCUGUUCUUGGUCACCCUGGCCACUCUUGCUGCUAUAAGCUUGCUACUCUUAAGUUUUUUGUUUGUUUGUUAUCAUUACAAGGGAAAACAUGGAUAGCAAAAAUAUUUGGCUUUUUGCUUUUUAGUAUUUCCCUUCUUGUGCUUUAGUAAAAAUUGUCAUCCUGCAGCAAAGUGUAGAUAAUAUGGCAGCAUCCUUUGUCAAUUUUGUCUCCUCACUUGAAGAAACAAUGACUUUGAAUACUGAAUUAUGGGUCCUUAGGCUGUAGUGAAAUCUUAAUGUGCUUUACUCAAAACUUCCUUUGCAGAUGAGUCCGUCUCACGCUUCUUGUAAUGAGAUUGCUCGUGGGGGAUGUUCGUUUGUUUAGGACUUUCUGUGAGAAAUAUGCUGUUCUGGAGACUAUUGAACUGGUUGUCAUUGGUUACUUGGCUUUAUUAAAUAAAACAGCCUCUUCUCAACUACCUUCUGUGGAACAUUAGUGUCUUUUGUACUGUAUUCUAUAGGAAAUAAGUCCUAUGGUCAAAUAAUUUUGGAGGGGAGGUGUUCUGUAUACUGUUUCCUUCUAGGAGAUUCACAGAGCACUUUGGCCUGUUAGAAGGUUCUCCAGACCCUGCAGGAAAGAAAACUGUUUACUCUUGCUUGGCUGAUCGAUUCUCAAACCUACCUGCUCAUGGAGAUGCUUGUCAUCACUGCCUCCCUCCUUUUUAUUUUUUCAGAAUACACAUUACCAGUUUACAGGACUAAUGUUCCAUAGUACACAGUUUGGAGAAUACCGAAAUGAAACUUUAUUCCUCAUCAUGUAUUACCAGGGCUUUCUGAGCAGCGAAGAACCAGUUCCACUCUUUUAUGUUGUAAAACCGGUCUCGACGCCUUAUCUACAUGCAAGGCAGGUGCAAAGCAGAUUUGGGGAUCAAAGUAGUCUCUGGAGAAAAAGGAUAGGUUAUUUGUUUGUCAUGCUGAAGGGGCUGUAAAAACAGUAACAUACUUAAUGAGGCUUCACUAUGGAUAUAUUAGUCUCCAUAAAACAUUUUAUUUAGCCUAACCUACAAUUACUUAAUGGCCAGUGAGUUUCAUAAACAGCUAGUCCCCAGCCUCAAACAUAUAUUAAGUGUCUGUUCUUUUGUGGAGUGAGUUUGCCAGGGAGAGUCAUGCAAGAUUAAAAAGAUAGAACAUUAAAAAUUCAGCCAAGACACACCAGGGCUGCCCUGAUGAUAACAACUACGGUGUGAUGUUUCUCAGUUCAUAUGGAUUCCCCAUACUGUUCUCAGUAGAAGAUAACCCUGCUAUUGCCCAAUACUCUUUCAUUAAAAAAUUAUUUGCACAGUCAUGGGUGUAUGGCAUUUCUUUUUUUGCUUAAGACAGACCCUCGGUGAGUUGAAUUUUUCUAAGGAAUUUUGAAUUGUAAGAGACAGAAAUGAAUGAAUAUUUAUUUAGAGGAAAAAUAUUGAGUCCUUACAUUUCCUACAGCACUUUGAAGUUUGCAGAGGGCUCCCUUCCCCCUUCCUCAACUAUCACUUUUGUACUUAAACAAAACCUCUGUGAGACAGUAGUAUUACCAGCACCACAAAAGUAGCAGAGGACUCUUGGAAAGCUGGCCAGAGCAGCCUUACAGAAUUCAGAAGCUUUAUUUACAUUCACCUGAACCGUUAUCCUAACUUCCUUCCUUCCUACUUAGUUAUGUUCAAUCAACUUAUCAUCUAGACUCAGCCACGAGCUUACUGUGUGUCCUGAUCCAUUGCUUAGCAAUCGUUCCCUCUUGGAUCAUGAGAGGUGGUAAGUUUCUAGGAUAUGUGUGUGAGUGCAUAUGUGUGCAAAUGUGUAGGAAUUGGUGAGGGAUGAAGGACUCAGAGAUCAUCUUUAGACAGAGUCCUGUGUUCCCCACCCAGGCGUGUGGAUUUUCUCUAGUAAGAAGGGUGAGGAGGCUAGGAUCUCGGAUGCCUUGGGCAACGUGGAAGAGGGCUUGGUACAGCAGAGGCUGUUACGGUGAAUAUGGGGGUCAGAGGAUGAAGGUCUGGGAAAUGGAUGGAGCCAAGGCAAUGGAGGGGAUUCCUGAGGUGGAACUGACCAGUCUUGGAGGUAAGGGAGAUACAGCAACUCAAGAUAUUGAUGAGGCGUCUAAUAGAGGUGGCCAAUAGUGCUGUUAUCAGAGAAGAGAACAAGAGGGAGACAACUGGGGUGGUAGCCUAGGGGGCGGCGGCGGGAGAGUUGAAACGAUAGAAGCCACUUUAGGAUGUGAUGAGCUUGAAGUGAAAUGUUUAGGUAGCUUGAAGUAGCCAUCCACAUUACAGAGAAAGAGAACAAAACCUGAGAUUUAGAGUUAAUGCUCGACAGUGUGUAAAGACCUGGACGCACAGACCAAAGUAUCUAGGAAGAGGGUGGCACCAGAUUGAAUCAGCCCACAUGACUCACACAUGUUAGAAAUGUCAUAUGUAUAUAUAUAUAUAUGUAUUUGGUCUUUUUUUUUGCCAUUUCUUGGGCCGCUCCUGCGGCAUAUGGAGGUUCCCAGGCUAGGAGUCGAAUCGGAGCUGUAGCCACUGGCCUACACCAGAGCCACAGCAACGCAGGAUCCGAGCCACGUCUGUGACCUACACCACAGCUCACGGCAAUACCAGAUCCUUAACCCACUGAGCAAGGCCAGGGAUCGAACCCGCAACCUCAUGGUUCCUAGUCAGAUUCGUUAACCACUGUGCCACAAUGGGAACUCUGGAAAUGUCAUAUGUUUUUACAACGUGUAAGGCAACUCCAUUUCAUACCGAGCACUCCUCCUUGUAGUCUGGGGGAAAACCUAAUUUCGUAUCUUUGAUUUUCCCUUCCUGAGGCAGUGCUGAGACAUCAGGAUGCAGAGUGGUGAUCUGGUCCUUGGUCACCUGUUGGGUAGGUUAUUUGCCAAGGCUUGCCAUCAUUCCUACUAGAUCCUUUUUCUCUGCCAUGGCUGUGCCAUGAGAUGCCACUUGUUGUUUUGUCUGAUGAGCUUCAGCUCCACCCAGCUCUUGGGCUUGGAGUUUUGCUGUCAACCUUUUGGGAGUGUGAGGGAAGCAUGGCUGCUCUGGGAUCCUUUGGUAUCGUUCGUCUUUCCUCUCUGAGUUUUAGCCCAGGGACCUCUCUUUCUAGGGCAGGGAAGGAAGAAAGGAUGAAGCGCCCUUCCUCUCGCUUCUCACAUACCCUCCCCUCUUCUCCCCCAAACCACCACUUCUCUUAAGGGCUUAAACAUGUUUGUGUGUGUGUGUGUGUGUGUGUGUGUGUGUUGGGGGAAAGGCAGACAGACUUGCUGGUUAUUUGCUUAUGGCCCUGAUGCAUGCCUCCUGGUAGCUGUGGAGGAUCACGAUGGCUACCACACUGAACUGGGAGGACGGAAACAAACAAAUACAGAUACAGAGAGAAACAAGAGUAAUAUCUGAAAAUACCAUCUAGCUACAGUGUUCAAGUAAGAGGAGAAACCAAGCAGGCUUUGGGCUACAGAGUAUAGAGACAAGAGAGAACAGGAAGAUGACAUCCAGGGAAGAAGCCAGAAAGCUCCCAGAGAAUGCAACAAAAAGCACCACUCUCAGGAUGUCGAGAUGCAAGACAUGGCCCCAGCUAUGAUGAUACCAGGACAUGCCAGAGGAGGGCAGGCGAGUCAUAGCCCGGGGCUUUAAAGUAAGCCUGUGGAGUUCCCAUUGUGGCUCAGAGGUAGCAAACAUGACUAGUAUCCAUGAGGACUCGGGUUCGAUCCCUGGCCUCGCUCAGCGGGUUAAGGGUCCAGUGUUGCUGGGAGAGCGUCAGUGUAGGUUGCAGAUGAGGCUUGGAUCCCAAAUUGCUGUGGCUGUGGCUGGCAGCUGCAGCUCCAAUUUGAUCCCUAGCCUGGGAAACUCCAUAUGCCAUAGGUGUAGCCC
This 5088-nucleotide long non-coding RNA is filed under the name Sus scrofa (pig). Its description in RNAcentral is "lncRNA (ENSSSCG00065060170.1)". The record is from RNAcentral. Lineage: Eukaryota; Metazoa; Chordata; Mammalia; Artiodactyla; Suidae.